This 497-nucleotide ribosomal RNA is filed under the name uncultured bacterium. RNAcentral describes it as "partial 16S ribosomal RNA". It matches the Rfam family "Bacterial small subunit ribosomal RNA", at positions 28 to 507 of the family's 1533-position model. The record is from RNAcentral.
GACGAACGCUGGCGGCGUGCCUAAUACAUGCAAGUUGAGCGCUGUAGGUUGGUACUUGUACCAACUGGAUGAGCAGCGAACGGGUGAGUAACGCGUGGGGAAUCUGCCUUUGAGCGGGGGACAACAUUUGGAAACGAAUGCUAAUACCGCAUAAAAACUUUAAACACAAGUUUUAAGUUUGAAAGAUGCAAUUGCAUCACUCAAAGAUGAUCCCGCGUUGUAUUAGCUAGUUGGUGAGGUAAAGGCUCACCAAGGCGAUGAUACAUAGCCGACCUGAGAGGGUGAUCGGCCACAUUGGGACUGAGACACGGCCCAAACUCCUACGGGAGGCAGCAGUAGGGAAUCUUCGGCAAUGGACGAAAGUCUGACCGAGCAACGCCGCGUGAGUGAAGAAGGGUUUCGGAUCGUAAAACUCUGUUGGUAGAGAAGAACGUUGGUGAGAGUGGAAAGCUCAUCAAGUGACGGUAACUACCCAGAAAGGGACGGCUAACUACGUG